CUGCUGUAGCAGGUUUGUAUGUAGCUGCAGGAGAAGCAGCUGUACUAACACAGAGGCCCCUAUCCACCCAGAGGCACUGAUAACCCUGCUGGAAGAAUAGCUCACAGUCUACAUAUUGAUGCAUCCUCAAAUAUAAAGUCAAGUAGGGUUUUACAGAUUGCAUGCCUUGUAUAAUUUUCCAGUUAAGAAACUAGCCUCAUGUCUUUAUAGUUUUUCUGUCCUUAUUAUAUUUUAGAACCGGCUAAUAGCAAAUUGUAGUGCGAGCUGCUAUCAGGUCUAGACUGAAUAGCAUUAUGGUAUUCGGUGUGUGUGUGUAAUCUGUAAUAUUGAGUGGCACAGCAUGCCAACACACUGAGGUCAGUGCAGUUUAUACUGCCAGCACUUAUACUCAGCAUGCAGUUAGUGAUAUGACAUAGACCACCUAAGCACUGUCCUCAUGUACACACUCCAGACUAAGUGUGUGAAAGUGUGUGUGUGGUACAUUAACUACUAUCUAUCUAUCUAUCUAUCUAUCUAUCUAUCUAUCUAUCUAUCUAUCUAUCUAUCUAUCUAUCUAUCUAUCUAUCUAUCUAUCUAUCUAUCAUCUAUUAAAAUGUUACAUUGUAGUCUAGACACACAUAAAUGAUUUCAGUUUGAUUUCAACAACAUUCAAUUUCAGAUUUAAAAUUUUAAAGAAUUAAUUACCCCCCCCCCCAUGUAUAUAUUUUUUUCUUUAUUUUGAUUGCUGAUACAAGCCUGACCUGGGAUAAAGAAAAGCAUGUAUUUGUAAUAAACAGAAACACAUUGACCAUUUUCAUCAGACCUUGGGAUAACAAGAUCGCUCUGUUUCUUUUGAGUGCAGCCGAGUGUAAUUGUUUGUAGAUUUAGCUUUCAGAGUUGACUUGUGAAAUUGAGCAAAUGUUAACCCACUUUAUUUCUCUUUGUGUGUGUACGCAUGUGUUUGUGUAUUUGGGGCCGUUUGUUACCUUGUGAGCAGUGGAGCAGUGAUGGACUCAGCUGGCUUGGGAAGAGCUGCCAGAUUUUUCAGAACAAUGCCACCCUCAUCAUCACCGUUAACGCCUCUCUCCUCCUCAGAAACAUCCCAGAUCCCAACACGCCUCUAUAUUAUCCUCACAUAUCAAUGUCUGCUGGUGUCUGUUGUGGCUGGCCCUGUCAGAAGCUUAGCAUGUGUGCAAUCAAAUCACUUCCUUCUGUAUCCUGCAGAUUAUGAAAAGCGAUUAAUGAUUACACGCAGCACCAAACUGAAAAAAUUAAGGGGGUGAAUUGACCCGAGUGAGAGGUUUUCAGCGCUACACAGAUUGAUGUUGAGCAUGGUGACCGGAAAUCCAAUUUGUGUUUCGAAAGGUACACCUUUGUACUUUAAUUACCUCUAAAGUGUGCAUAUUAGUAAUAUAAUGAUAAAUAUUAAUCCUUUUUAAAAAGGGCACCCCUCCAGUGCCAGCAUUUGUACAACUGUUUAUUAGAGACUAGUCUAUUGCAUAUGUAUACGUUACUUAAUCAUCCAAAGCUAAAAAUGCAAAAUGUCUAGCAUUAAUUUUUUUUUGGUUAGUCAAGUGCAUCAUCUGGGUAUUUGAAGUGCGCUUUUUCUUUUUGGAAAGUGAACACACUACUCACACUAUUUCUACUACAAUAUGGGACAGAGUAGUGCAUCUGAAUUGGGACGCGCCUCCAGGUUUACUCUCUUUUAAAAAAAAUAUGACCCACACUGGUUGACCACACAGCUCUGAGGAGAUGCUCACCAGUGGUGGGCAGACAGUGCUGCAUCUCUCAGUAGAAUGGUUGUUAAGGAUUAAGAUGUUAAACGGAGACUAUCUAAAAGCAUAGCGCUCUGCUGGGCUGCUCUCUCUGUCUCUCCUCACUCUCUCAAGCGAUCUGCUGCUGCAGUGGAUUAACUCACUCGAGAGAGAGAGAGUCAAGAAGCCACAUACGCAUGUAUAAAUACAAGCAUUAUUAUAUAUUGGAAAAGUGUCUUUGCUAUUCCCCUGGUCCCACUGAGCUCCUGCAGCGCUCUGGUGACUCAGGCCUCAGGCGUAGCUCAGGAAAAGGCAAAUCACUAAUGCUCUUAGCAUCAAACAAUAAAUCCUGCAGUUAUUUUCCACCAUGUUUAAUUAAAUAUUUUAAGAAGAAAACCUGGCUGAUUGAUUUGCCUCGGCCAUUGAUUCACUAUUGAUUUGGCACUGUCAAGGGGCCUCCACAGCGCUACUUGCUAAAUGGCCACAAGGAGCCCUUAAAUAAAUUAAGUACUUUUGCGAGCUUUAACAAAAUCAACUUUGCGAGCCGCUCCUACAGGUCCUGCUCCCACCGCUCUCGGGGGUUUGUGACAGGCCGCUUCUCCUCCUGAGGAAAAUAAGUCCUCAAACUGCAUUUUGUAUGAGCAUUGAUGAAUGCUGAAUUAUGAAAUUGUAAUGCCCAAUAAAUUGUCUUUGUUUUCCCAAUGCAGCUAUUGCGCUUGAAUGUGGCUCCUUUUGACCCCCACAGAGCAUUAGCUCGGUUUAUUUCCUCAAAACACUUGAAAAGAGAGUGAUAUUAAUAAUCCCAUUACAAAGCAGGAGGAAAAGAGGGAGAAUUAAAAGGCCAUUAGUUGUGAUAAAAAAUGUAGUCAUUACCCCGUACCUCGCUAGAUACUCAAUUCCCUUUUCUCAUCACAGCCUGGCUCUUUGGGAUACAUCAUAAUAUCUCUCAAUGCUCAAUUUUCUCCUAUUAUUGUGUGUUUUAUCUUCAUUUAUGUCAGUCCAUAAUUCAAAAAUCAUUAUAUUUCUUAAACAGUGUAGACAUUUAAAUAAACAUCCUCCUCACUGACAAAUUACUGCAGCACUUAAAUGACUAUGUCAGGUCAAGCAACAAAAUAUAAACAUAAAAAGAGCUGGAUACAGGUGAAAGCCUUCGUAGCCCAGUCAGAUGACAGGGAGAAAAAGAACAGGAGAAAAGGCGAAAGAGAGGACAAGAGGGAGAGUAAUUCGAACACACACACACAGAGAAAGAGAGAGAGGCUCAGUGUAUGGCUAUAGGGAUUCAGAUUGCUAUCAGGCCUUUAUCAGUCUCAUCUCAGAGCGGCAUUGAUCUUCGCUGAGAAUCUAAUCCUAACUAUGAAGUUCAAUAACAACUCCAUUACCUGGCUCGCGCUGAUUGGAGCGUUGUAAUGCCAAGAUUAGUAGCUGGCUGCCUGACCUGCCAACAUUGAUUUGUGCUGCAAAAUCACUUGUUCUAGAAAAAGAGAGAGAGCGAAAGAAAGAGAGAGAGAGAGAGAGAGAGAGAGAGAGAGAGAGAGAGAGAGAAAGAAAGAAAGAAAGAACGUGUUGGUGAGGUAAUUGGAAAUUGAACAAUUUUUAUUUUCACCUUUUUCCCCCUUUCCCUCUCUCUGGUUUUUCUUUCACCCCCGGCAUAAACUCGACCCUUUCUUUCAUUGAUUAGUUGCCUGUUUAUAUCAGGCGUUACCAAACACAAGCUACCUGGUGUGUGUGUGUGUGUGUGUUUGUGUGUACGCUGCUCAAACUGUAGCCAGGAUAGUGAUCUCUCCGUCUUUCUCUCUCUUUCUCUCUCUCUUUCCCCCAGCAGGCCCAAAUAGCUCCUCUCAGCCCAGUGAAUGAAUGGCUUCACAGCCUGUUAGCUUUAAGUAAUAGAAGCAUUGAGCCCAUCCUACUGGCAGAGACAGCUCAUUUACUCCUCUCUUUUUCUCCUCUGGUAGCCCCUCCCUUCGUUCCUUCUCUCUCCCUCAUCCACCUUCUUUCUUUUUAACAGGCACAGAUUACGCAGGUCAAAUAAAUGAAACAGACUGUUUUGCGCGGGCUGCUCCGGUGGGUGCCGAAAUGGAUGAACCCAUUUCCCUUAAUGCAGACACGAGUCUGGCAUGCGCACACACACACAUGCUCACACAGAUGUGCUCCCUCCCCCUACUCGCCCCUGUCUCUGAGGUUACAGGUUAAUGACAUGCUCAUUUCGCCCAGCCAUUUGUUUUGUUUUCCUGCAAAGUUCUGAUAAGUAGCUAACCAACGAACCUUGUAAUUACAAUCUUACAGAAACCAGCCCGAUCUGUAUAUAAAUCUCACCAUCCAAUUACAAGAUGUAAUAAUUUUGCACUCAAGCUGGUAAUGAGCUCUAAUACUGCAGCAUGUGAUAAUCCCCUCUGGAUGCUGGCUUGAUCAGAUGUUGGCUUUGUAAUUAGACUGGCAGAAAAUCAUUAUUUCAUGUUCAAAUAGAAAAUGAGGUUGGUGGGAAGUUAAUUUCUCUACGCUCUGUGAAGCGUAGACAAGAAUUUAAUGAUUUAAUUACAGUUGUAAGCUCCUUGGAUGAGACUUAAAUUGAGCUGCAAUUUUUUUAAGCACACUACCAUUUUGAGAGCAGGGCACAUCAAAGCCUCUGACAAGAGUCUAAAGUGAUAGGGCACUGUGAUGUUUUUGAUAUGCUCAAAUUCCUUUUCUCGUUAUCUGGUCAGUUCUGCUUAAGUGAAUUACUGAUUACUGUAUAAUACCACAGAAACUCUUUGAGGCACAAAACCUUCAUUAUGCAUAAAAGUUAUUUUUUCCUUAUGCUUUUGAUUUAAUUUCCACAUUGCCAAUAAUAAUUAAAAAAGACUAUAAAAAGAUAGUAUUUUUUUUUUUACCACGUUAUGUCACGCACCAUUGUGGUGAAGACUAAUUUUCAAAAGAGAACUCAUAUUCAUAUUCAGCAAUGCCUUUGUUCAUAUAUAUGCUCUUUCCUGCAGAGAUCAGAGUGCAUAAAAACAUCAAUGUUUAAAAAUAGCUUUUUUUACGUAUAUCAGUCCCAGAAAGAAUUGUAUUUUUCCCUCAUUGUAUCCGGCAUCCACUAGAUUCCGAUUGUUUAUAAUUUUUUCUUUGUUGUUGCAAUAUUUGUCCAUUUUCCUCAUUGUAAUUUUUAUUUUAUUUUUUAACUCACAAACUUAAGCUAUAUCCAUAUAGUCUAUUGUAAUACACAUAUUACUUGUAUACACAUAUGCUGAAAAUGUUUAUUAAACAUAAUAACAAGAAAAGAUAGCUCUCUUUUUAGUAAAAGCUGGCAAAAUAUAGAUUUUGUUUCUCCUCAUUUCGCUCUCUUUUUCUUCCUCUGUAGUGCAACGUCUGUUCGGCGCUCUGCAAUCA
Cyprinus carpio carpio is the source of this 5096-nucleotide long non-coding RNA. NCBI's taxonomy places the organism in Eukaryota, Metazoa, Chordata, Actinopteri, Cypriniformes, Cyprinidae. The record is from Ensembl.